AAAGGGAGACCUAAUUCAGGUAUAAGACGAAAAAAAAGUAGUCCCUACCAGGAAUCAAUCCCAAAAGGUCGGAACGAGGUAUGAGGCUUUCAAACUAGGUUCUGGGUUCAUAAAAGACCUGAAUCAGGAACAAGGGCUAUUAGCUCAGGUGGUUAGAGCGCACCCCUGAUAAGGGUGAGGUCCCUGGUUCGAGUCCAGGAUGGCCCACCUGCACAGGUGGCAAAAACAAGAGAAGCGAGGAAUCAGCACCUUAUCUUAUAUACAUAUAUAAGAGAGAAUGCUGGCUCUGAGUACAGAGUCCAGAGGAACCUUGAAAACUGCAUAGAGCUAGGUGAAAAAGCCAAAAAAGAAGACCGCAAG
Molecule: transfer RNA, 360 nt
Filed under: uncultured Microcystis sp.
Lineage: Bacteria; Bacillati; Cyanobacteriota; Cyanophyceae; Chroococcales; Microcystaceae
Description: partial 16S-23S ribosomal RNA intergenic spacer
Rfam family: tRNA (bases 134-207)
Source: RNAcentral